This 461-nucleotide ribosomal RNA is filed under the name Streptococcus mitis. RNAcentral's name for it is "bacterial SSU rRNA". It matches the Rfam family "Bacterial small subunit ribosomal RNA", at positions 28 to 474 of the family's 1533-position model. The record is from RNAcentral. Lineage: Bacteria; Bacillati; Bacillota; Bacilli; Lactobacillales; Streptococcaceae.
GACGAACGCGGCGGCGUGCCUAAUACAUGCAAGUAGAACGCUGAAGGAGGAGCUUGCUUCUCUGGAUGAGUUGCGAACGGGUGAGUAACGCGUAGGUAACCUGCCUGGUAGCGGGGGAUAACUAUUGGAAACGAUAGCUAAUACCGCAUAAUAGCAGUUAUUGCAUGAUAACUGUUUGAAAGGUGCAAUUGCACCACUACCAGAUGGACCUGCGUUGUAUUAGCUAGUUGGUGGGGUAACGGCUCACCAAGGCGACGAUACAUAGCCGACCUGAGAGGGUGAUCGGCCACACUGGGACUGAGACACGGCCCAGACUCCUACGGGAGGCAGCAGUAGGGAAUCUUCGGCAAUGGACGGAAGUCUGACCGAGCAACGCCGCGUGAGUGAAGAAGGUUUUCGGAUCGUAAAGCUCUGUUGUAAGAGAAGAACGAGUGUGAGAGUGGAAAGUUCACACUGUGACG